Molecule: ribosomal RNA, 112 nt
Filed under: uncultured bacterium
Lineage: Bacteria
Description: partial 16S ribosomal RNA
Rfam family: Bacterial small subunit ribosomal RNA
Source: RNAcentral
CCCGGGCCUUGUACACACCGCCCGUCACACCACGAAAGUUGGCAACACCCGAAGCCAGUGGCCCAACCCUUUUGGGAGGGAGCUGUCGAAGGUGGGGCGAGCGAUUGGGGUG